This 433-nucleotide ribosomal RNA is filed under the name uncultured bacterium. RNAcentral describes it as "partial 16S ribosomal RNA". It matches the Rfam family "Bacterial small subunit ribosomal RNA", at positions 29 to 507 of the family's 1533-position model. The record is from RNAcentral.
AACGAACGCUGGCGGCAUGCCUAACACAUGCAAGUCGAACGAAGCCUUCGGGCUUAGUGGCGCACGGGUGCGUAACGCGUGGGAAUCUGCCCCUUGCUUCGGAAUAACAGUUAGAAAUGACUGCUAAUACCGGAUGAAGUCUUCGGACCAAAGAUUUAUCGGCAAGGGAUGAGCCCGCGUAGGAUUAGGUAGUUGGUGGGGUAAAGGCCUACCAAGCCGACGAUCCUUAGCUGGUCUGAGAGGAUGUUCAGCCACACUGGGACUGAGACACGGCCCAGACUCCUACGGGAGGCAGCAGUGGGGAAUAUUGGACAAUGGACGCAAGUCUGAUCCAGCAAUGCCGCGUGAGUGAUGAAGGCCUUAGGGUUGUAAAGCUCUUUUACCAGGGAUGAUAAUGACAGUACCUGGAGAAUAAGCUCCGGCUAACUCCGUG